GGGGGGGGGGGGGGGGGGGGGGGGGACAGGGAGGGCGAGGGGGGCGGGCGGGGCGGGGGGCGCACGGGGGCGGGACGCGUGGGAACCUGCCCUGAGGUUCGGAAGAACUCCCCGAAAGGGGUGCUCAUACCGGAUAAUGUCUUCGGACCAAAGAUUGAUCGCCUUUGGAUGGGCCCGCGUGGGCUUAGCUAGUUGGUAGGGUAAAAGCCUACCAAGGCGACGCUCCAUAGCUGGUCUGAGAGGAUGAUCAGCCACACUGGGACUGAGACACGGCCCAGACUCCUACGGGAGGCAGCAGUGGGGAAUAUUGGACAAUGGGCGAAAGCCUGAUCCAGCAAUGCCGCGUGAGUGAUGAAGGCCUUAGGGUUGUAAAGCUCUUUUACCCGGGAUGAUAAUGACAGUACCGGGAGAAUAAGCUCCGGCUAACUCCGUG
RNAcentral lists this ribosomal RNA (433 nucleotides) under uncultured bacterium. RNAcentral's name for it is "partial 16S ribosomal RNA". It matches the Rfam family "Bacterial small subunit ribosomal RNA", at positions 26 to 507 of the family's 1533-position model. The record is from RNAcentral.